Molecule: ribosomal RNA, 253 nt
Filed under: uncultured bacterium
Lineage: Bacteria
Description: partial 16S ribosomal RNA
Rfam family: Bacterial small subunit ribosomal RNA
Source: RNAcentral
UACAGAGGGGACUAGCGUUGUUCGGAAUUACUGGGCGUAAAGCGCACGUAGGCGGCUUUGUAAGUUAGAGGUGAAAGCCCGGAGCUCAACUCCGGAACUGCCUUUAAGACUGCAUCGCUUGAACGUCGGAGAGGUAAGUGGAAUUCCGAGUGUAGAGGUGAAAUUCGUAGAUAUUCGGAAGAACACCAGUGGCGAAGGCGACUUACUGGACGACUGUUGACGCUGAGGUGCGAAAGCGUGGGGAGCAAACAGG